AUCCGUGAACAGAACCCCCAAUGAGACCCCCAUUAGUUGUGGCUUAUUUUGGUUCUUUUUAGUUCGUUUCUUUCCCCUACAUUACUUGACCGUUUUUGUAAAACAACAGCACUCGUGGUCUGACAGUAUUUUACCUAGAAAUGCACAAAAUAUUCAAAAAGAAGGCCUAGAAAAUUUAAAUAUUGGACAAGAACUAUAGAAGGUACAGAGAAAUAAUAUACAGCAGAAAUGAUAGGCAAUGUAAAAUUUGCAGAAGCCAACUAAACCUAAAUGGUGAUCAGACAUCUCGGUUUUCAUGAUCAAUAGGUCAUUACUGAAGAGGAAACUUAAAGUUGAAAUUUAUUUACAUAGUGCAUAAUUGGAUUAAUUUGAAAUGGAAUGUGUGCUUUCCUGCAAAAAAGAAAUAGGAAAUUUCAACAUGUGAUAAUGACCAUAUAAAACAAAAUGGAGUUCUAUCAUAGAUACCCGAAAACACUAUUGCAUAAAAGCAACAACAUAUCUUAAUCAAAAGAAA
Mytilus trossulus (common blue mussel) is the source of this 514-nucleotide long non-coding RNA. RefSeq lists it as uncharacterized. The transcript is spliced from 3 exons. The record is from RefSeq and is a predicted model, not a curated record. Lineage: Eukaryota; Metazoa; Mollusca; Bivalvia; Mytilida; Mytilidae.